CCCUAACCGUGCAAAGGUAGCAUAAUCAUUUGCCUUUUAAUUGGAGGCUUGUAUGAAUGGUUUGACGAGGGCUAAGCUGUCUCUUUUAAAAUAUUUAGAAAUUAACUUUUAGGUGAAGAGGCCUAAAUUUGGCUGAGGGACAAGAAGACCCUGUUGAGCUUUAGUUUUAUGCUAAAUGGAUUAUUAUGAUAUUUGUAAUAAGCGUGGACCUAGGUGUAAUGGGAUUUUAGUAUGAAUCUUUAGUUGGGGCGACUGAGGAACAGCUAGAGCUUCCUUUGGUUUAGAAGGGCAAGUAGUGUGCCGGAAAAUGGUGUAUUCUUGCAGGUUGUUUUGAUCCAGUAGAAUACUGAUUAAAGGAAAAAGUUACCACAGGGAUAACAGCGUAAUCUUUCUGGAGAGAUCUUAUCGAAAGGAGGGUUUGCGACCUCGAUGUUGGACUAA
RNAcentral lists this ribosomal RNA (441 nucleotides) under Monodonta confusa. Its description in RNAcentral is "partial 16S rRNA". It matches the Rfam family "Bacterial large subunit ribosomal RNA", at positions 1940 to 2540 of the family's 2925-position model. Lineage: Eukaryota; Metazoa; Mollusca; Gastropoda; Trochida; Trochidae. The record is from RNAcentral.